This 439-nucleotide long non-coding RNA is filed under the name Vulpes vulpes (red fox). Its description in RNAcentral is "lncRNA (ENSVVUG00000030112.1)". The record is from RNAcentral. Lineage: Eukaryota; Metazoa; Chordata; Mammalia; Carnivora; Canidae.
CUAUGAAUUUUUUAAGUAGUUUGUAAAUAGAGGCAUAACUGCCUUUUGUGGUAUAAUAGCUCUCAUCUUCUGUUAUUCUCUUCCUGAAGGGUGCUGUUGGUGUUUCAGGACCACCAGGAAUGAGAGGAAAGCCAGGGCCUUCAGGCCAGGUGGGUGACCCAGGACCCCAAGGACCAUGUGGCCCUCCAGGACCAGAGGGUUUUCCAGGAGAUAUUGGGAUUCCUGGACAGAAUGGCCCUGAAGGAUUAAAGGUAAAAAAAAAAAAGAAAGAAAGAAAGAAAGAAAGAAAGAAAAAAAGAGAAAAAAGCAUUAUAUUUAGAGGUUUUUUUUUAAUCUCAAAUAUCAAUGAAUCGGUAAAAAAAAAAACUAAGAAUAUCAGUACAUGUCUGGAUAUUUUUGAGCUAUCUCAGGUGCAUUUAAUGAACUGUUCAGCGUAUUU